This 500-nucleotide ribosomal RNA is filed under the name uncultured bacterium. Its description in RNAcentral is "partial 16S ribosomal RNA". It matches the Rfam family "Bacterial small subunit ribosomal RNA", at positions 30 to 523 of the family's 1533-position model. The record is from RNAcentral.
AUUGAACGCUGGCGGCAUGCCUUACACAUGCAAGUCGAACGGCAGCACGGGGGCAACCCUGGUGGCGAGUGGCGAACGGGUGUGUAAUACAUCGGAACGUGUCCUUUCGUGGGGGAUAACCAGUCGAAAGACUGGCUAAUACCGCAUGAGAUCUCACGAUGAAAGCGAGGGACCGCAAGGCCUCGCGCGAUUGGAGCGGCCGAUGUCGGAUUAGCUAGUUGGCGGGGUAAAAGCCCACCAAGGCGACGAUCUGUAGCUGGUCUGAGAGGACGACCAGCCACACUGGAACUGAGACACGGUCCAGACUCCUACGGGAGGCAGCAGUGGGGAAUUUUGGACAAUGGGCGAAAGCCUGAUCCAGCCAUUCCGCGUGCAGGAUGAAGGCCCUCGGGUUGUAAACUGCUUUUGUACAGAACGAAAAGGUUUCUACUAAUACUAGGAGCUCAUGACGGUACUGUAAGAAUAAGCACCGGCUAACUACGUGCCAGCCGCCGCUGUAA